GAAGAUGAAACUCCUGAUCGGGACUAAGUCGUAACAAGGUAUYYGUAGGUGAACCUGCAGAAGGAUCA
This 68-nucleotide ribosomal RNA is filed under the name uncultured eukaryote. RNAcentral's name for it is "partial small subunit ribosomal RNA". The record is from RNAcentral.